This 362-nucleotide unclassified non-coding RNA is filed under the name uncultured bacterium. Its description in RNAcentral is "contains 16S-23S intergenic spacer region". The record is from RNAcentral.
UCCGGUUUGUCACCGGCAGUCCCUGGUGACACUCAUAACACCAGGCAAGGGUUGCGCUCGUUGCGGGACUUAACCCAACAUCUCACGACACGAGCUGACGACAGCCAUGCAGCACCGGUGCACCACCCUCGAAGGCUGCCACAUUUCUAUGGCAUGCAGGUGCAUGUCAAAUCUAGGUAAGGUUCUUCGUGUUGCGUCGAAUUAAACCACACGCUCCGCUGCUUGUGCGGGCCCCCGUCAAUUCUUUUGAGUUUUAGCCUUGCGGCCGUACUCCCCAGGCGGAACACUUAUCGCGUUGGCUUCGGCACGGACAGAUUCGACUCCGCCCACACCUAGUGUUCAUCGUUUACGGCGUGGACUAC